UCAGAUUUUAUUUAUUAAAUUUAUUAUUUUUUAUUUUAAUUUAUUAAAAGUAAUUAUAAGGUAAAUUGUUUUAGUAUUUUAUUAAAAAAAAUAAUUAUAAUGAUAGUGUAAUAGUAUUGUGAAAGAAAAUUGAAAUAAUUUGAAAAAUUUUUGUUUAAAAAGAAAAUUUAAUUAAUUGUACCUUGUGUAUCAGGGUUUAUUAAAUAAAAGUUAAAUAAAUAAUUUUCUCGAUUUUAAAAGAGUUAAUAUAUUAUUAAAGUUAAUGUUGUAAAAUUAUUUUAAAUAAUAUAUUAGAAAUGAAAUGUUAUUCGGUUUUAAAGGUAUCUAGUUCUUUAAGAAAUAAAUUUAAUUUAGAAGUUUUUUAUUAUUUAAUUGAGUUAAUUAAUUAAAUAAUUAAUUAAUUUUAAUAUUUUAUGGGAUAAGCUAUGAAAUAAAUUUUUAAAAAUAUAUAAAUAUAUUAAUAAAUAUAAGCUUAGAAUUAGCUAUUAUUAAUGAAAGUGUUAUAAUUUAUUUUAGAAUUAUAAUUAUUUAUUAAGUUUUAAUUAUUUAUUAAAGUAUUUAUUUUAAUAGUAAAAAUAAAAUAAUUAUGAUAAAAUUAGUAUAUUAAAUUGUAAAAAUAAGUUUAUGUGAAAAGUUUUAUUAAAGAAUUCGGCAAAAAUAAUAUUCGCCUGUUUAACAAAAACAUGUCUUUUUUUAAUAUUUAUAAAAAGUCUAACCUGCCCACUGAUUUUUUAAAUGGCCGCAGUAUACUAACUGUGCAAAGGUAGCAUAAUAAUUAGUCUUUUAAUUGAAGGCUGGUAUGAAUGGUUGGACGAGAUAUUAACUGUUUCAAUAAAAUUUAUAAUAAAAUUUUAUUUUUUAGUUAAAAAGCUAAAAUAAAUUUAAAAGACGAGAAGACCCUAUAAAUCUUUAUAUUUAGGUUAUUAUAAUUUUAUAGAAGAUUUAUAUUAUAAUAAUUAAUAAUAUUUUAUUGGGGUGAUAUUAAAAUUUAAUAAACUUUUAAUUUUUUUUACCAUUAAUUUAUGAAUAUUUGAUCCGUUAUUAACGAUUAAAAAAAUAAGUUACUUUAGGGAUAACAGCGUAAUUUUUUUGGAGAGUUCAUAUCGAUAAAAAAGAUUGCGACCUCGAUGUUGGAUUAAGAUAUAAUUUUAGGUGUAGCUGCUUAAAUUUUAAGUCUGUUCGACUUUUAAAUUCUUACAUGAUCUGAGUUCAGACCGGCGUAAGCCAGGUUGGUUUCUAUCUUUAAAUAAAAAAAAUAUUUCAGUACGAAAGGACCUAAUAUUUAAUAAAUUAUUAUUUUGACGUUGAAUAUAAUUAACUUUAUUAUU
This 1328-nucleotide ribosomal RNA is filed under the name Pollenia rudis. RNAcentral describes it as "16S ribosomal RNA". The stretch from base 620 to 1328 matches the Rfam family "Archaeal large subunit ribosomal RNA", at positions 1423 to 2828 of the family's 2987-position model. The record is from RNAcentral. Lineage: Eukaryota; Metazoa; Arthropoda; Insecta; Diptera; Polleniidae.